AUUGAACGCUGGCGGCAUGCCUUACACAUGCAAGUCGAACGGUAACAGGUUAAGCUGACGAGUGGCGAACGGGUGAGUAAUGUAUCGGAACGUGCCCAGUUGUGGGGGAUAACUGCUCGAAAGAGCAGCUAAUACCGCAUACGACCUGAGGGUGAAAGCGGGGGAUCGCAAGACCUCGCGCAAUUGGAGCGGCCGAUAUCAGAUUAGGUAGUUGGUGGGGUAAAGGCUCACCAAGCCAACGAUCUGUAGCUGGUCUGAGAGGACGACCAGCCACACUGGGACUGAGACACGGCCCAGACUCCUACGGGAGGCAGCAGUGGGGAAUUUUGGACAAUGGGCGCAAGCCUGAUCCAGCAAUGCCGCGUGCAGGAAGAAGGCCU
This 380-nucleotide ribosomal RNA is filed under the name uncultured bacterium. RNAcentral describes it as "bacterial SSU rRNA". It matches the Rfam family "Bacterial small subunit ribosomal RNA", at positions 30 to 417 of the family's 1533-position model. The record is from RNAcentral.